UUUGACAUUUAUUCGUAAACAGAGUCCUUGCAUCCGAGAAUGCCGGUCACAUCCGGUUAAGAGAAUCAUGGUUCAUAUCUUAUGACUUUUUAGGGCCACAAAAUGGGGUUUGAGUUGGGCAUCCGAAGACACCAAAAUGUAAUAGAAGUCCGCGGGACGCAAAAGUCAAGACCGAAGCCUUUCCUUUUGUGUUGCUACUAGCCGAAGCCGGUAGACUUUAGGUGUGGUAAUGAUCCUUCCGCAGGUUCACCUACGGAAA
This 259-nucleotide unclassified non-coding RNA is filed under the name uncultured fungus. RNAcentral's name for it is "sequence contains ITS1". The record is from RNAcentral. Lineage: Eukaryota; Fungi.